UGGGAAGAGCUCGGUCUCCGCAGCAGCUGGCAGGUGCCCGCAUGUUGCUCUGCAGGCACUGAGGGAUGGGGAGACGGGGAGGGGAGGCUCGAGCUAGAAAGAAACAGAAAACACAGAUAGACACAACUGAGGCCAAGCUUUGAAAGACAAACCAUAAAGGCUACAGACGGAUGUCUUAGCCAGGAGGCACGGGAAAGUAUGAAAGGAAGAAGCAAUUAGGAGUAUUUGUCAUAAGAAGCAUUAGGGAAGAGAACAACUUUGACAACUUAACCUGUGGCAUGUAGGCAACUUGCAGCUUGCUGUCACUGAAGCUGGGGGGCAAGAGCCACCAUUUUACAAAACCUCCAACAUUUCCAGUUCAGUCAAAGGCCUGUUUAAGUUACUGGAGAAUACAGAACCCCUGCACUCUGCCAUGCAGCACCUCCUCUCCUUCAUGCUUACUUUGGGAGAAAGUUGGGUGAAAAUACUCCAGGUUCUUACCUUGAGGAGAAGAGACUGAGCACAAAGCAUCCAGCAGCACACAAUGAGCACUGCCCUCCACACGCCACAGCCACAGGGAAGCAGUGGGACCCAGGAGUCUGCACUGCAAUCCAACCUUGGACAAAGAUAGAUAUGGAUACAAAUACAAAUAUAAAAAUAUAAAUACUGCUCUCCUCUUAACAGAUAAGUCAAACUCUAAGGCUGGAUGAGAGCACCUUUCUGCCCUCAGACCCUGCAGAAAGCUGGAGAGCCGAGCCGAGGGUGGUGGAAGAAUAUUUCAGUCAAUGAGAGGCACAGCUGCAAAUAUAAUCUCCUUGUAGCUGGAAACUGCUAGUUUAGAGGAGUAAUUUAAUUUUUAUUGAAGUUAAUUAAAGUCCAUUUGGAUUGGUCUAGGUGCAGAAGAUGACAACCUUCUUCACAGGAAAGAAGAAAACAAUCAUGGUACAUAAAGCUAAAUAGACAGCAUGGAAGCAAAAGACCAUCCCAAAUUUACAGACUCUUCCUAGUUUACAAUCUACUGAAGUUUAAAUGCCACAUUAAUAACCUCCUGAGCAGGGAGGCACUUGAAAUAUGUGCCUGAUUAGUGAAAUGGCACAUAAAAUUCAUUUUUCUAUGAAGACACGCAAAUAUUUUAUUUACUUAGGAGCAUUUACAAAUUAAGAUUUAGACAGAUAUUUUCUGUGUUUUGACUUACACUUAUUUCAACAAUAUCCAUCACUAGAAUAACUGUGCUGCCUGCAUGAACAUGAACUCAUUUGUAUGAACAUUGAGGAGCACAUUAUGUGGACAACAUUUUGAAGAAGAAAAAUACAUAAAUAAAUAAAUAUGUGAUUUUUUUUCCUCACAGAACAGAAAGGUUAAGGGAUCACUGACUGAGGCAAGAAAUGCUUUGGCAUUAGAGGAAAACCAUAGAUCAAGAGAAUAUUAUUUUUAACAGCAAAAUAAAAUCUCUUUUACAUUCAGUACUUCCUUUGUUUCAUUCAGGACAGUAGGCAUUAGAAAAGGGACACAGCCCCAGGAAUGUAGCAACCCAAACCCCAUUAAACAUGCAUGGGGAAGAUUUCCAGCCUGCUGUGCAGGGAGUUACAUGCCCAGGCUCUGUUAACAACAGUAAUUGUGCAUAUAAUUUCCUGUGCGUUGCUCUGAAAAUUCACCCUACAGUCUUUAGCUCCAUGUCAAGUAACUCAGCAGCCAUUUAUUAUAGUCUGAGGGUGGAAACCAGAACUUUGAAACGGCAGAAUGGCAGCGGGCGCCUUUGCUCCCCUCCCUUUCCCACACGUUUUCCAGAAUUCAUCAAUGAAGGGAAGGUCCAAGGACCUCAGACAAAGCAGGAGUGCAUCCCUGAAGGAUGCAGCAAAUCCUGUGUGGUGAUGGCUCCCUGUGCCUGGUCUGCGCUCUGCUGGUCUCCUGACGGUCCCUGUUGGGGCAGCAGAUGGCUGAUUGUGUGUAGACCUCUUUGGAUCGGGGUUUCACCUCUGGAAGCCUUGCAGAGGCCUGGGUGAGGAUGGCCCAAGGAGGAAAGGCACAGCUGCAGUGCAGUGUAGAGUUAAUAUGCACAGGAGCCCAGAAAGUGGGAGAGAUGUCAGCUGCCACAUGGCAGGAACAAAUAAACUCACCUAAAGGGACAGACUGAAGGUGCUUGAAUAGUGGGUUUGAAUUGGGCUAUUAAAACACGAGUGGCUGAUCCCAGAGAAGUGGCUGGUGCUGAGGUCCUCAAUUUCUGGACAGGCGAAUUGCUAAGAAAAGUUACCAGGACAAAAGGUACAAGUGAAGCUCUAAGAGGAAAAGUUUGCAGUAGGAAACCCAGCUGACAGUACCCUGAUACCAGACACUGCCAAGACAGCCACAAGACAUGCCAAGCAGCCACAGCUGCCCUGAAAGCUCAGAGUUUUAUGGGAUCAGACCAAAGAACAACUGAAAUAAAAACCUUCUCUCCUGGAAAAGCAGUAAAAUGCCAAGCUGCCUUCCCUGGCAGAGAAGCAAUUAAAAGUUUGGCUCUAUCUGCUCGCGGAAGAGUGAAAGCAGAAAGUAAAAUGGAAGCUACAUCUGAGGACACUGCAGAAUCAGGGCAAGUCAUGAAGGUAAUUUGCUGUAGGCCACUGGGCUCCAGAAGAUCUUACAGUGAAUUAUGUUGAAUAAGAUCACCCCCCCAUCUGGUCCUCUGCACUUAGAUACUAAUUAAAAAAACAUACAAACUUAUAAUCCACAGAAGUAUGUACAUACUCAAGCAUCAAAACCACCAUCCUGACUAUGAAACAAGAAUAUCACCUUCUCCACCACACUCCUCACCAAACUACCCCCUCAGCCCUCAGCACCAGGAGGAAAGGACAAGAGGAAAAAGGAGAACAAAACCAAGGUGUUCUUGGCACAGUGUGCCCACAAGGUUAGGCAGUGAUGCACUAAUGAAUAAGGUUCUCCAGGGAACAAUCCCACAUCAGUAGGUGGAAGGGCUAAUCUAAUAGUUUUCUUCCAUAUCUAAAUUCUAUAAAGGUGUAACUUGCAGCAGGGAGCAUGUGAUCACUCUUUGAAUAAGCAGUGGGAGGGGAAAGGAUAUGUUUAAUGGCCAGAAUUAGUUUCCUUACACUGGUUCCCUGAGCCAUUGUGCAGAAUAUGCAGCCUAAGAGUAGUGUGAGACUUUUUUUUUUGAUUUUGAAAUGGGUACACAUCAAAUACACCCAUCCCCCAGACACAAGAAAAUUCUCGCCACAUGCUUCUGUCCUCCAGACUUACACAGCAUUUUAUUGUAUGGAACACAUCAAAAGGAUUUGGUUCCCUUGUAAAAGUUUUACAGGAAAAUCAUUGAAGAGCAGUGUAACUUUUCCUUUUUUUUUUUUUUAAAUUCAAAACUAGAACCAAUAUUCUGGAUUCCCACACUUUGGUGUGGACUCAGAGAAAGCUGUGCUUUUCUGUACUGUAGAGCAGAAAUACAGACCCUGUAUAAUUAGAAUUGCAGUCAUGGCCUGUGGGAUCUAGUGAUUUGGACAUAUUUUAUUUAACCAGCUUAGUAAAAGGUAAUAUUCAGCAGCUGUGAUCUAUAGCAGAAUUACAAUUUUCAGGGUCAAGGAGGGAUUUUGAUAUUAGGAGGUUGGGCAGAAUUGCUGUAAAAUCUCAUGAGCUGUCGUUAAAAAUAAAUGAGAAAAUAGGUUAUCCAAGAGUCAUUGUAAGGGAAAAAUCAAUAGGCAGUGUCUAUUCACUUGGGCUGUCAAAAUCCUUGAAAUUUGAACAAAAGUUUCACGUUUAGUGUGCUGUAGGUUUUGAAAUGUAAGUGGUGAAUGCUCUGUGGGUACAAAUUCAUUGUGCUGUGCAUUCAAACAAGGAGAAACCCUUCUGAAGUUCUGGAGUUCUCUAUUAAGACAGUACAGUUCCUUCGUCACCAAGUCAGACAUGUAAAACAGUUGCCAGCAAAACUUCAGAAGCAAUUUUAGCUAACUGGUGACAAACUCUCUCCUGGAAAUACUGCAUUUCUUCCUCUCACCUUGCUCCUCUGGGGUUCCCUCCCACGUCUGGCUCCCAGCGGGUGCAGGGAGGGGCUGCAGCCCUGGAGCCCGGGCAACUUCGUGCGAGCGCACGCGCCUGGUGCGGAACCGCGACCGGCAGAGUUUGGGAGUGAGGAUUAUUGAUAAUUCGCAGCAGCACACAUAAUUGAUAUGGAAAGGGAGUAUCAUCCUCAUUCAGAAACAAUUAACUUCCCCCUCCAACACAGCAGUUCAAAGAAGACUCAGUCUUUUAAAUAUGAAUGAGCAGAAUUUCAAAAUAUGCAACUAUUAGCUGUUACAAUGUACACAUGGAGUAGGAUUUUUUUUUUUUUUUUUUUUUAAUAUUCUUGUGGCUACCAAAUUUAAGUGUGACGUGGACGCAGAUCUCCAGGAGCCAAAGUCGUGCAUGGACUCCAAUCACUUAGAAGUGGAGAGGGGAAAAUGAAAGCUUCACAUUGCUCUUGGAUUUUAUAAUUUUAUUUGAGCCACAGCCUGAUACAACCCAAAAGUCCAGUUAAUUCCUGGUUGAAGACAGACAACUGAGACUUUACAGAACAUACAAGAAUUAGCAGAAAACACUCAUUGCCAAUGGAUAUCCGAAAGGAAAACCUUUCCCCAAAGCUCAACAACGCUGAGGAAUUCAACAGACUCUUCUGCAGCAGCCCAAUGAAGAUUUGUACAUUGUUAAUUUGAUUGCAGAAGGUGCAUGUUAAAUAGAAAAGAACUGAGUUUGUCACUGUCAUCUGAAUCCAUUCAGUCAGUGCAACAAAGGUAUAUUUAACUAAAAUAUGAAACAGACUUGCUAACAUCGCAUUAUUUUCUCAGGCUUACAAAGUUAAAAAAAAAAAUUAAACUGAAUAUAAAUGACUUUGAGCAUUUUUUAUGACACCCACAGCCUAAGUGAUCCAGAUAAUGUAAUCUAACCAUCAUUAGAAACCAUGAAAUUACAAUUCCUCUGGGAUGGAUAUUUAUCUCUCUGUUACAUACAGAAAGGCGAUUAAUUAGUAGCUCUUUCAGUGUUUAACAUUACUGUGUACGGAGGCUGAUUAAAAUCUAACUAUAGAACGGCUAUGAUAGCUAACACGUAAUCUGGGGAAAGUUUAGCUGGGGCAUGAAGAAGCACCUUAAAAAGAAAACUUAAAAAAAUGUAUUCUUAGAAGUAGGCAGCUUCAAAGCCAAAACACAGACUUCCUUCUAAUUUCUAUUACACACAGCAAUCAUGACAAUUACUGAGAUUUCAAAAAACUCAAUAUUCAAAACAACUAAACCCACGUCAAAUAUUUUUGUAAAGUGGUACAAUUCACAGAAUACCUCUUUUUUUUUUUUUUUUUUUUUUUUUUUUGAGAAAA
Long non-coding RNA from Passer domesticus (house sparrow), 5305 nucleotides. RefSeq lists it as uncharacterized. The transcript is spliced from 2 exons. Lineage: Eukaryota; Metazoa; Chordata; Aves; Passeriformes; Passeridae. The record is from RefSeq and is a predicted model, not a curated record.